CAAAUCCGUACCCGAAACCGACACAGGUGGGAUGGUAGAGAAUACCCAGGCGCUUGAGAGAACUGUUCUGAAGGAACUCGACAAAUUGCACCCGUAACUUCGGAAGAAGGGUGACCCGUUAGUACGCAAGUAUUGGCGGGUGGCACAGACUAGGGGGUGGCGACUGUUUAUCUAAAGCACAGGGCUCUGCGAAGUCGCGAGACGACGUAUAGGGUCUGACGCCUGCCCGGUGCUGGAAGGUUAAGAGGAGAUGUGCAAGCAUUGAAUCGAAGCCCCAGUAAACGGCGGCCGUAACAAUAACGGUCCUAAGGUAGCGAAAUUCCUUGUCGGGUAAGUUCCGACCUGCACGAAUGGCGUAACGAUCUCCCCACUGUCUCCAGAACAGACUCAGCGAAAUUGAAUUCCCCGUGAAGAUGCGGGGUUCCUACAGUUAGACGGAAAGACCCUAUGAACCUUUACUAUAGCUUUGCAGUGGCACGCCGAUUUUCUUGUGCAGAAUAGGUGGGAGACUUUGAAGCAGACACGUCAGUGUCUGUGGAGUCGCCGUUGAGAUACCACCCUGGAAUCUCUGCGUGUCUAACCAAGUCCAGUUAUCCUGGACUGGGACCCUGCAUGGUGGGUAGUUUGACUGGGGCGGUCGCCUCCCAAACAGUAACGGAGGCGCGCGAUGGUGGGCUCAGGACGGUCGGAAAUCGUCUGUGGAGUGCAAUGGCAUAAGCCCGCCUGACUGCGAGACUGACAAGUCGAGCAGAAUCGAAAGAUGGUCAUAGUGAUCCGGUGAUUCCAUAUGGAAGGGUCAUCGCUCAACGGAUAAAAGGUACUCUAGGGAUAACAGGCUGAUAGCGCCCAAGCGUCCACAGCGACGGCGCUGUUUGGCACCUCGAUGUCGACUCAUCUCAUCCUGGGGCUGGGGAAGGUCCCAAGGGUAUGGCUGUUCGCCAUUUAAAGAGGUACGUGAGUUGGGUUCAGAACGUCGUGAGACAGUUCGGUCCCUAUCUGCUGUAGGUGUUGGAGUCUUGAGAAGAGCUGUCCCUAGUACGAGAGGACCAGGAUGGACGCACCUCUGGUGUACCUGUUGUUCCGCCAGGAGCAUCGCAGGGUAGCUAUGUGCGGACGGGAUAACUGCUGAAAGCAUCUAAGCAGGAAGCCUCCUUCAAAACUAGGACUCCCUAUCAGAGCCGUUAUAGACCAUGACGUUGAUAGGACAGAUGUGGAAGCUCCGUAAGGAGUGAAGCUAACUGUUACUAAUUGCCC
RNAcentral lists this ribosomal RNA (1254 nucleotides) under metagenome. RNAcentral's name for it is "bacterial LSU rRNA". It matches the Rfam family "Bacterial large subunit ribosomal RNA", at positions 1637 to 2910 of the family's 2925-position model. The record is from RNAcentral.